This 503-nucleotide ribosomal RNA is filed under the name uncultured bacterium. RNAcentral describes it as "partial 16S ribosomal RNA". It matches the Rfam family "Bacterial small subunit ribosomal RNA", at positions 30 to 523 of the family's 1533-position model. The record is from RNAcentral.
AUUGAACGCUGGCGGCAGGCUUAACACAUGCAAGUCGAGCGGGGUGAUGGUGCUUGCACUAUCACUUAGCGGCGGACGGGUGAGUAAUGCUUAGGAAUCUGCCUAUUAGUGGGGGACAACAUCUCGAAAGGGAUGCUAAUACCGCAUACGUCCCACGGGAGAAAGCAGGGGAUCACUUGUGACCUUGCGCUAAUAGAUGAGCCUAAGUCGGAUUAGCUAGUUGGUGGGGUAAAGGCCUACCAAGGCGACGAUCUGUAGCGGGUCUGAGAGGAUGAUCCGCCAGACUGGGACUGAGACACGGCCCAGACUCCUACGGGAGGCAGCAGUGGGGAAUAUUGGACAAUGGGGGGAACCCUGAUCCAGCCAUGCCGCGUGUGUGAAGAAGGCCUUAUGGUUGUAAAGCACUUUAAGCGAGGAGGAGGCUCUUUUGGUUAAUACCCAAGAUGAGUGGACGUUACUCGCAGAAUAAGCACCGGCUAACUCUGUGCCAGCCGCCGCUGUAA